RNAcentral lists this non-coding RNA (32 nucleotides) under Homo sapiens (human). The record is from RNAcentral. Lineage: Eukaryota; Metazoa; Chordata; Mammalia; Primates; Hominidae.
UGGCCCCAUGAUUCCUCAGUAGAGGUGAGAUC